This 348-nucleotide small RNA is filed under the name Sarocladium kiliense. Its description in RNAcentral is "eukaryotic LSU rRNA". It matches the Rfam family "Eukaryotic large subunit ribosomal RNA", at positions 255 to 610 of the family's 3401-position model. Lineage: Eukaryota; Fungi; Ascomycota; Sordariomycetes; Hypocreales; Sarocladiaceae. The record is from RNAcentral.
CUUCGACGAGUCGAGUAGUUUGGGAAUGCUGCUCUAAAUGGGAGGUGUACGUCUUCUAAAGCUAAAUACCGGCCAGAGACCGAUAGCGCACAAGUAGAGUGAUCGAAAGAUGAAAAGCACUUUGAAAAGAGGGUUAAAAAGUACGUGAAAUUGUUGAAAGGGAAGCAUUCAUGACCAGACUUGGGCUUGGUUGAACAUCCGGCGUUCUCGCCGGUGCACUCUGCCAGUCCAGGCCAGCAUCAGUUUGCCCCGGGGGAUAAAGGCGGCGGGAAUGUGGCUCCCUUCGGGGAGUGUUAUAGCCCGUCGUGUAAUGCCCUGGGGCGGACUGAGGAACGCGCUCGGCACGGA